CCUACGGGAGGCUGCAGUGGGGAAUAUUGCGCAAUGGGCGAAAGCCUGACGCAGCGACGCCGCGUGAGGGAUGAAGGUCUUCGGAUCGUAAACCUCUGUCAGCAGGGCAGAACGGUCACUGUGCUAAUCAGCAGUGAAUUGACGGUACCUGCAAAGGAAGCACCGGCUAACUCCGUGCCAGCCGCCGCGGUAAUACGGAGGGUGCGAGCGUUAAUCGGAAUUACUGGGCGUAAAGCGCUCGUAGGCGGUAUGUCAAGUCAAGGGUGAAAUCCCCGCGCUCAACGUGGGAACUGCCUUGGAAACUGGCAAACUGGAGUGUGUGAGAGGAUAGUGGAAGUCCAGGUGUAGGAGUGAAAUCCGUAGAUAUCUGGAGGAACAUCAGUGGCGAAGGCGACUAUCUGGCACAUAACUGACGCUGAGGAGCGAAAGCGUGGGUAGCAAACAGGAUUAGAUACCCUAGUAGUC
This 465-nucleotide ribosomal RNA is filed under the name uncultured bacterium. RNAcentral describes it as "partial 16S ribosomal RNA". It matches the Rfam family "Bacterial small subunit ribosomal RNA", at positions 338 to 795 of the family's 1533-position model. The record is from RNAcentral.